This 458-nucleotide long non-coding RNA is filed under the name Salmo salar (Atlantic salmon). RNAcentral's name for it is "lncRNA (ENSSSAG00000086589.1)". The record is from RNAcentral. Lineage: Eukaryota; Metazoa; Chordata; Actinopteri; Salmoniformes; Salmonidae.
UGACAGGAGUGCCACUCCACAUUAGAGCUCAGUGGAGAUCUGUUUAUGGGGCACGAUGCCUCCUUCCUCCCUCUCUUUGAGGAGACCGAUAUUUAGUUGGCCAAUAGGACGGAUGAUAGAAGUGGGUUACACACUCGCCGAUGAAUUCUCACAAGGCACCCGGACAUGCGUCCCCUGUAUCUGAGUCUUCCCUUCACGCGACUGACAGGGAUUUGGUCCUUGUCGGGUAUCUGGAGUAAAUCCUUUGCGUCUGACUCGUUAAAGAAAAAAUCUUCGUCCAGUACGAGCUCUGCAGGUACCCCUGCUCUUUGCUGUGUACUGAUCCUGUCAGCAGUAGCAGACCGAUGCCCACUGCUGAUAUCAGGGACAGCUUCAUGCUGGCUCACUGGACCACACUCCUCUUGUCUCCUAGCUCCUCUCCUCUCCUUCCCUCCCCCCUCUGCUCCCCUCCUUUUUUC